This 783-nucleotide unclassified non-coding RNA is filed under the name uncultured Bordetella sp. Its description in RNAcentral is "partial 16S-23S ribosomal RNA intergenic spacer". It matches the Rfam family "Bacterial small subunit ribosomal RNA", at positions 10 to 795 of the family's 1533-position model. The record is from RNAcentral. Lineage: Bacteria; Pseudomonadati; Pseudomonadota; Betaproteobacteria; Burkholderiales; Alcaligenaceae.
GGUUCGAUCAUGGCUCAGUUGAACGCUGGCGGGAUGCUUUACAUGCAAGAAGUCGAACGGCAGCACGGACUUCGGUCUGGUGGCGAGUGGCGAACGGGUGAGUAAUGUAUCGGAACGUGCCUAGUAGCGGGGGAUAACUACGCAGCGUAGCUAAUACCGCAUACGCCCUUCGGGGAAAGCGGGGGACCUUCGGGCCUCGCACUAUUAGAGCGGCCGAUAUCGGAUUAGCUAGUUGGUGGGGUAACGGCUCGCAAGGCGACGAUCCGUAGCUGGUUUUCAGAGGACGACCGCCACACUGGGACUGAGACACGGCCCAGACUCCUACGGGAGGCAGCAGUGAGGUAUUUUGGACAAUGGGAAACCCUGAUCCAGCCAUCCCGCGUGUGCGUGUUGAGGCCUUCCGGGUUGUAAAAGCACUUUUGGCAGGGAAAGAAGCGGCGCAGGAUAAUACCCCGUGCAACUGACGUGCCCUGCAGAAUAAGCACCGGCUAACUACGUGCCGUAUGCACCGGUAAUACGUAGGGUGCAAGCGUUAAUCGGAAUUACUGGGCGUAAAGCGUGCGCAGGCGGUUCGGAAAGAAAAGAUGUGAAAUCCCAGAGCUGCUUUGGAACUGCAUUUUUAGCUACCGAGCUAGAGUGUGUCAGGAGGUGGAAUUCCGCGUCGCCAGCAGUGAAAUGCGUAGAUAUGCGGAGGAACACCGAUGGCGAAGGCGGCCUCCUGGGAUAACACUGACGCUCAUGCACGAAAGCGUGGGAGCCGACAGGUUGAAUGCCCUGGUAGUC